This 72-nucleotide transfer RNA is filed under the name Cavia porcellus (domestic guinea pig). It matches the Rfam family "tRNA". From Rfam's summary of the family: Transfer RNA (tRNA) molecules are approximately 80 nucleotides in length. Their secondary structure includes four short double-helical elements and three loops (D, anti-codon, and T loops). Further hydrogen bonds mediate the characteristic L-shaped molecular structure. tRNAs have two regions of fundamental functional importance: the anti-codon, which is responsible for specific mRNA codon recognition, and the 3' end, to which the tRNAs corresponding amino acid is attached (by aminoacyl-tRNA synthetases). tRNAs cope with the degeneracy of the genetic code in two manners: having more than one tRNA (with a specific anti-codon) for a particular amino acid; and 'wobble' base-pairing, i.e. permitting non-standard base-pairing at the 3rd anti-codon position. Lineage: Eukaryota; Metazoa; Chordata; Mammalia; Rodentia; Caviidae. The record is from Rfam by way of RNAcentral.
AGGGAUAUAGCUCAGUGGCACAGCACCUGCCUGACAAACUCAAGGUUCCAAGUUUGAUUCCUGGCAUCCCCA